Non-coding RNA from Onychomys torridus (southern grasshopper mouse), 378 nucleotides. Lineage: Eukaryota; Metazoa; Chordata; Mammalia; Rodentia; Cricetidae. The record is from the annotation of a RefSeq genome assembly.
AUGGGCUCUGUUGCUCUCCUGCUGUGGAUGCUGCUGCUCUGGGUUUCAGGAUCAAAUGGGGACAUUGUACUGACCCAGUCUCCAUCUUCCAUGGCUGUGUCUCUGGGACAGAAGGCCAUCAUCUCCUGCAAGUCCAGUCAGAGUGUCACUGACCUACUAGAUAGUGAUGUUAUACACUGGUAUCAACAGAAACCAGGACAGCCUCCCAAACUCUUGAUUUAUUAUGCAUCCAAUCUAGAGUCUGGGGUGCCUACCAGGUUCAGUGGUAGUGGAUCUGAGACAGAUUUCACACUCACCAUUAAUCCUGUGGAGGCCGAUGAUAGUAAGGCAACUUACUACUGUCAGCAAGGUCUGGAGCUUCCUCCCACAGUGCUAUAG